AGAGUUUGAUCCUGGCUCAGAACGAACGCUGGCGGCGUGCUUAAGACAUGCAAGUCGAACGGAAAGGCUUUUCACUCUUCGGAGUGACGAGUACUCGAGUGGCGCACGGGUGAGUAACGCGUGGGUAAUCUGCCCUCAGGUUUGGGACAACUCCGGGAAACUGGAGCUAAUACCGAAUAAGACCACGAGGUCCUUGGGCCUUGCGGAAAAAGGUGGCCUCUUCUUGAAAGCUAUCGCCUGUUGAUGAGCCCGCGUCCCAUUAGCUUGUUGGUGAGGUAAAAGCUCACCAAGGCAUCGAUGGGUAGCUGGUCUGAGAGGAUGAUCAGCCACACUGGAACUGAGACACGGUCCAGACUCCUACGGGAGGCAGCAGUCGGGAAUCUUGCACAAUGGGCGAAAGCCUGAUGCAGCAACGCCGCGUGAGGGAUGAAGGCCCUCGGGUCGUAAACCUCUGUCGGAAGGGAAGAAAGUAUUUUGGGUUAAUACCCCAGAGUAUCGACGGUACCUUCAAAGGAAGCGCCGGCUAACUCCGUGCCAGCAGCCGCGGUAAUACGGAGGGCGCGAGCGUUAUUCGGAAUCAUUGGGCGUAAAGCGCGUGUAGGCGGCUGGGUAAGUCGGAUGUGAAAGCCCGGGGCUCAACUCCGGAAUUGCAUACGAAACUGCUCAGCUAGAGUCUCGGAGAGGAGGGCGGAAUUCCCG
Molecule: ribosomal RNA, 699 nt
Filed under: uncultured bacterium
Lineage: Bacteria
Description: bacterial SSU rRNA
Rfam family: Bacterial small subunit ribosomal RNA
Source: RNAcentral